This 72-nucleotide transfer RNA is filed under the name Camelus bactrianus (Bactrian camel). It matches the Rfam family "tRNA". Rfam says of the family: Transfer RNA (tRNA) molecules are approximately 80 nucleotides in length. RNAcentral also lists the same sequence under 2 other names. Lineage: Eukaryota; Metazoa; Chordata; Mammalia; Artiodactyla; Camelidae. The record is from Rfam by way of RNAcentral.
GAGGGUAGAGCUCAGUGGUAGAGCGCCUGUUCAACACGCACAAGGGCCUGGGUUCAAUUCCCAGUACCUCCU